This 524-nucleotide ribosomal RNA is filed under the name uncultured bacterium. RNAcentral's name for it is "partial 16S ribosomal RNA". It matches the Rfam family "Bacterial small subunit ribosomal RNA", at positions 28 to 523 of the family's 1533-position model. The record is from RNAcentral.
GACGAACGCUGGCGGCGUGCUUAACACAUGCAAGUCGAACGGACAGACAGAGAGCUUGCUCUCUUGAAGUUAGUGGCGAGCGGGUGAGUAACGCGUAAUCAACCUGCCCUUCAGAGGGGGAUAACAACGGGAAACCGUUGCUAAUACCGCGUACGAUUCAUGAACGGCAUCGUUUAUGAAUGAAAGGUGGCCUCUAUGUAUAAGCUAUCGCUGAAGGAGGGGAUUGCGUCUGAUUAGCUAGUUGGAGGGGUAACGGCCCACCAAGGCAAUGAUCAGUAGCAGGUCUGAGAGGAUGAACGGCCACAUUGGGACUGAGAAACGGCCCAAACUCAUACGGGAGGCAGCAGUGGGGAAUCUUCCGCAAUGGACGAAAGUCUGACGGAGCAACGCCGCGUGAGUGAUGAAGGUCUUCGGAUUGUAAAGCUCUGUUAAUCGGGACGAAAGAGUUCUGCGUGAAUAAUGCAGAAAAGUGACGGUACCGGAAUAGAAAGCCACGGCUAACUACGUGCCAGCAGCCGCAGUAA